AGUGAACGCUGGCGGUAGGCCUAACACAUGCAAGUCGAACGGCAGCACAGUAAGAGCUUGCUCUUACGGGUGGCGAGUGGCGGACGGGUGAGGAAUACAUCGGAAUCUACUUUUUCGUGGGGGAUAACGUAGGGAAACUUACGCUAAUACCGCAUACGACCUACGGGUGAAAGCAGGGGAUCUUCGGACCUUGCGCGAUUGAAUGAGCCGAUGUCGGAUUAGCUAGUUGGCGGGGUAAAGGCCCACCAAGGCGACGAUCCGUAGCUGGUCGGAGAGGAUGAUCAGCCACACUGGAACUGAGAAACGGUCCAGACUCCUACGGGAGGCAGCAGUGGGGAAUAUUGGACAAUGGGCGCAAGCCUGAUCCAGCCAUACCGCGUGGGUGAAGAAGGCCUUCGGGUUGUAAAGCCCUUUUGUUGGGAAAGAAAAGCAGCAGGUUAAUACCCCGCUGUUCUGACGGUACCCAAAGAAUAAGCACCGGCUAACUUCGUG
RNAcentral lists this ribosomal RNA (492 nucleotides) under uncultured bacterium. RNAcentral's name for it is "partial 16S ribosomal RNA". It matches the Rfam family "Bacterial small subunit ribosomal RNA", at positions 29 to 507 of the family's 1533-position model. The record is from RNAcentral.